Molecule: ribosomal RNA, 492 nt
Filed under: uncultured bacterium
Lineage: Bacteria
Description: partial 16S ribosomal RNA
Rfam family: Bacterial small subunit ribosomal RNA
Source: RNAcentral
AGUGAACGCUGGCGGUAGGCCUAACACAUGCAAGUCGAACGGCAGCACAGUAAGAGCUUGCUCUUACGGGUGGCGAGUGGCGGACGGGUGAGGAAUACAUCGGAAUCUACUUUUUCGUGGGGGAUAACGUAGGGAAACUUACGCUAAUACCGCAUACGACCUACGGGUGAAAGCAGGGGAUCUUCGGACCUUGCGCGAUUGAAUGAGCCGAUGUCGGAUUAGCUAGUUGGCGGGGUAAAGGCCCACCAAGGCGACGAUCCGUAGCUGGUCUGAGAGGAUGAUCAGCCACACUGGAACUGAGACACGGUCCAGACUCCUACGGGAGGCAGCAGUGGGGAAUAUUGGACAAAGGGCGCAAGCCUGAUCCAGCCAUACCGCGUGGGUGAAGAAGGCCUUCGUGUUGUAAAGCCCUUUUGUUGGGAAAGAAAAGCAGCAGGUUAAUACCCCGCUGUUCUGACGGUACCCAAAGAAUAAGCACCGGCUAACUUCGUG